GUUCGGUUCAAUUUUCUCAUAUUAAUCUAUUUGGUUUGAUUUUUAAAUUUUUUAUUUUAAAUUUUUGAUUUUAUCAGUUCAGUUCGAUUCGAAACCGAACCGACCAUUUGCAUACCCUUAAAUUCAUUCACGAAAUUAAAAACUUAAUUAUUAAUAUUAACAAACCUCAAGAAUAAUUUUGCAAUAAACCCAUUCUUUUUGUUUAUUUAUUCACCAAUUUUAGCAAAUAAAUUGACUGGCACAAGAAUAUUGGCUGCAGAAU
RNAcentral lists this unclassified non-coding RNA (262 nucleotides) under Hevea brasiliensis (rubber tree). Lineage: Eukaryota; Viridiplantae; Streptophyta; Magnoliopsida; Malpighiales; Euphorbiaceae. The record is from RNAcentral.